Molecule: ribosomal RNA, 497 nt
Filed under: uncultured bacterium
Lineage: Bacteria
Description: partial 16S ribosomal RNA
Rfam family: Bacterial small subunit ribosomal RNA
Source: RNAcentral
GAUGAACGCUGGCGGCGUGCCUAAUACAUGCAAGUCGAGCGGCCGGACGAGUAGUUUGCCUUUCUGACGUUUGCGGCGGAGGGGUGUGUUACAUGUGGAUAAGUUCCGUAUAAGACUGGGAUAAGUCGGGAGAACGGUUGCUACCACAGGAGAAUUUUUUGAAACACCGGGUUCACAUGUGACAGAGGGCUUUGCUGUUGGCUAUAGACGGAUCAGCGGUGGAUUAGCUAGUUGGUGGGGUAAAGGCCUACCAAGGCGACGAUCAGUAGCUGGGCUGAGAGGAAGACCAGCCACACUGGGACUGAGACACGGCCCAGACUCCUACGGGAGGCAGCAGUGGGGAAUUUUGGACAAUGGGCGAAAGCCUGAUCCAGCAAUGCCGCGUGUGUGAAGAAGGCCCUCGGGUUGUAAAGCACUUUUGUCCGGAAAGAAAUCCUUGGCCCUAAUACGGUCGGGGGAUGACGGUACCGGAAGAAUAAGCACCGGCUAACUACGUG